Triticum aestivum (bread wheat) is the source of this 1739-nucleotide long non-coding RNA. RefSeq lists it as uncharacterized. The record is from RefSeq and is a predicted model, not a curated record. NCBI's taxonomy places the organism in Eukaryota, Viridiplantae, Streptophyta, Magnoliopsida, Poales, Poaceae. The transcript has 5 exons.
AAUAGGUCGUGUGGGACGAAUGAUUCGGAGCUGUGCAACAGCUAAUCGCACAUGCAUGAGGAGAGAUUAGACUCCCGAUAAGGCGGACCCACUCCCCAAGGAGAACUCCGAUGAUGUUUUAUCCCAAGUUGAAGUUUGGCUUGGAGCUGCGGCCUGCGGAUGAGUUGCUUCAUGUCAUACUCAGUGUGGAACCCUUUCUCUCUCAGAGCUCGAUACCGAGGCUGCAAGCCACUUAUCCAUGGAAAUGGUCAAGAAACAUGCAUGAUGAGCUGUUUGUGGAGAAAUAAAAACACCCAAACCUCAUUAACUGCAUCGCUGCUUUCCUAGCUGCAAACUUAUAUCACCUGGACUUCCCCUCUGUCAGGUCAAUAAUGUUGUUGUGGUGUCUGUAUGUAACCUGAUCGACUGCGCUCCAGGAUUUCAUCCUCAACUAGAUGUUGCUAACCUCAUCGAAGUUCACUUCCAUUUGCUGGAGGGUCCUUUCACCACAUCAUAGCCCUGUUUUGCGACUGGAUUUUGUUUUUCCUUUAGUACCCCCUUGUACAUUUCGAAUCUUAAAUGAGAAUACAGAGCACCUGCUGUGCAGUAUAAAAAUAUCCUCUGCUGUUGCUUUUAUCUCUGAGACAAGAUGGAAGUGUGUAAAUGAAGCUGCUGCCUGCUGUGCUUAGCUGGAUCAAUGCACUGAAGAGGCAGUUCCAACUUCCAAUAUCAAAAUGUUGUUCCUGUUGUUCCCACAGGAGAACUAAGCAAUCAUUUAAUCAAUUGUAUUGCAAGUAUACACUGAAUAUGCUUCUAAUGGUGGAGGUUGUGUUGAACCACUGUUACUGAUGUGUUACAUGGCUGUCCUACGUUUAUUCCUGUCACUGACCCAGAGAUGGAAUUUGAGAAACCCCGGAAGAUCUCUAACUUCAUCUAUCAAUUCUCUGGUUUCUGUUCAAAGUCCUAAGCUGUAAGCUGACAUCAAUCAACGCAUUAGUAUGCAAGCAGCAAAGACAUUAUCUCAGGAAUGAGAAAUGAGACAAUGGUUCUUACGAGGGUGGUUGGUGUUCGUACUAAUGAAUUGGCCGCUGACAAAAAGGUGAAUUUGAUGGGGAGGACUGGAGGAGCAUGAGUUGCCAAGCACUAAGUGGAUCAUGGUGCUGAGCAACUCCAAAAGUUGGCAGCUGACAAAAUGGUGAAAUUUGAUUUGGAGGACCAAUGAGCCAGCUUGAUGUUUUGCUUGUUUCAAAUAAGUAACUUGGAGCAUCACGUGGUGGUUUUGGUGAUUUGCUUUAUACAAGGAAGGGGCUCUUCUUGGAUAAAACAUCAUAGGGACAUGAUGAAGGAAGCUGCUGAUCAUUGGUAAUGAAACUGGCAAUGGUCCAAGCCAGCCAGGCGCAAUAAAACUGGCAAGGAUUGAAAUUGUAGUUUGUAAUCUGCUUGCCUUUAUGUCUGUGGCCGUCUCUUGUUUAUCGCGCUCCUCGGCUUGAUGCAGAUGCCACUGUGAAUUGCACAAGUGGCUUACAACUAGACUUCUUGAUUUCUUUAGCAAUCUACUCAAGUAAGGAAGAUGUCUGUGAACAAACUCAGCAACAGACAGGCUGAGUAAGGACUGAGCUUAUUCUUCCCUGGAGCUAGGAAAGGUGAAAGGACUUUGAAGAGUUGGUACAAAAUAGUUUUUUAGUGGGAUUGGAUCAAAUCCUUGAUUAAAUUUGUAAAAUAUGAAGAAGUUAUUUAUAAGAAUAUUGGAGAAACUGAAA